Molecule: RNA transcript, 3873 nt
Organism: Malurus melanocephalus (red-backed fairy wren)
Lineage: Eukaryota; Metazoa; Chordata; Aves; Passeriformes; Maluridae
Gene: EIF1B
Gene name: eukaryotic translation initiation factor 1B
Exons: 5
Source: RefSeq, a predicted model, not a curated record
CCUCCCUUCACGUUUUAUUUUCCUUUGCGCCUCCUCCUCCUCUUACUCCUUCCUCUCGCUCCUGCGCUCCCUUUCGGGUUCGCUUCCCCGCGUCCCUCUGCUUUUGUUACCCCUCCCCUCGCUCCCUCCCGCUCCCCGCCCCCGCGUGGCACUGCGGAGCCGGAGACGUGACCCGAGCGGACUCGCUUCCCCGCAGCUCCAGCCUCUCCCCGCAGAGUCGCAUGUCCUCGAUCCAGAACCUCCAAUCCUUCGACCCCUUUGCUGAUGCAACAAAGGGCGACGACUUACUCCCGGCGGGGACAGAGGAUUACAUUCAUAUAAGGAUCCAGCAACGAAACGGAAGAAAGACACUAACAACUGUUCAGGGCAUUGCAGAUGAUUAUGACAAGAAGAAACUUGUGAAAGCCUUCAAAAAGAAAUUUGCUUGUAAUGGUACUGUGAUUGAGCAUCCUGAAUACGGUGAAGUUAUCCAGCUGCAGGGUGACCAGAGGAAGAACAUUUGCCAAUUCCUCUUGGAGAUUGGCAUUGUCAAGGAAGAACAACUGAAAGUUCAUGGUUUCUAACAUACCUGUACUCUUAUGAAGAACCCUGCAGUAUUGGUCUUACCUAUCCUGGCUCUUCUGUGAAAAAUGAAUCUUGGCAGUGAAUGGACUUCCCUGUUACCUGAACAUAYACAAUUUGAUUCAGAUUUGCAUGACUGCAUGAAACAGGUGGUGUGUAGUCUAGAAACACAUAAGAAAACUUCAGUAAGAUGAUUUUUGAGUUCAGAUAUGAAGCCUUAGGACACUAGGAGCAAUUAGGGGAGCAUUAUAUGACUAUUUCUUUCUCCGUCUGAUGUAGACAAUUCCACUUGUAAAAAUCCAGUCUCUCAAUUUCCACAAAUUCUGCCUGAUCUUACAGAUCUUAACUGUUCCAGAGAAAGGAUGGUCCAGAAGAUUGUAUACUGCUAAGGUGCAAUACGUUCAGGAAGAGGGAAUGCCUGCUGCAAAACGCAAAAUACCCACAUACCAAAUGAAAAUCCAAAAAUAAAUCUUAUGCAAGUCUUGCAGAUGAGCAGAAUAAAAUCAUUCUACUGCAAGUUUACCUAGUCCUGAUUCUUAAAUGCUAAACUAAUCAAUCUUUUGUGGGUACAUAGCAAUUAGUGAUUUUCAUUUUAUCACAUGCCAGAAAAACUGAUAUUCUCAUUGAAAGCUUGUUCUCCUACCCAAAAGGAAAAACAAGCAUUAUCUUCUAUUUUACUGGUAUUCCAUAAGUACUUCUAGUGGGCUUUGAMUUGAAGAUUAACAAAUGACUAGCAGGUCUCGUGUUACUGAGUCAGUCUUCAUUUCAGAUGGCAUUCCAUUAACUUUUGCUACCUAAGCUUGAGUCAUUUCUCCCUAGUCAUUCUGCUUGGAAUAAAAAGGAAAAAUCUUUGGUUUUCUGCUUCCUCGUUUAAAAAUCCUUUCUGGUAGGAGGAUCCUUGCAAUUGAUAGGUGGCUUGGGUGGAGAUGCUUGUGUUUUGACCUUAGAAGGGYAAAAUUAUAAGGACAUGUAAUAAGAAAUAACACAUUUGAAGUUUUAAAGAGAUGAGAUUUGUUGUGACAACAAACCAUUUAAUCUUUCUAGAAGAGCAGAAAUUUUUGUCCUUGAGUGUUUUAAACUAAAWCAGUGUUUCUAAGAUUGUAAUUAGCCUUGUUCGUGCCCAAACCUCUCUGUAUGUUCUGGAUGAAAGGCUUCAACAAUAUCAUGUUUUGUCAUAUUGUUCUGAAAUGUCUUUGUCAAAGCUAARCUUAUUUGGACUACCUAUCCAUAUUUUAAGAAUGCUGAAAAUGAAGGCUUUGGAAAAGAACUGUUUAAAGUGCUACCACAAUAAUCUAUUUUCAGGAUGAAGGCAGGUUUCAAUCUUUUUAUCUAUUUCAAAAUAGGUUAAAAGAUGUUAAAGGAUGUGGCCCGUAAUUGUCCAGGAAGUAAAAAGGAGCUUAUAAUAGAAAACACUUCUGAAAUCCACUAAUAGGACUUGAGGCUGGCCAAGCUAAGACUGUGAAGAGCAGUGGUUUGUUUUUUUUGUUGGAAUAUUGGGAAGUCUGUGUCCUUCAGACCUACAAGUCAUGAUUGCCUUCCUAAUGGUACUUAGGCAUAAUCUCAAGGUGUUAUUGGAUGUAGAAACUUUUUUUUUAAAUUCACAGCCUUGUGCGUAGUUUUAUUAGGCUGUUCUACUGACUGUGAGCUGACACACUGAAGUAAGGUAUUGCAUAAAUAAAUUCAUUGUCUCUUCUGAGUCUACRUCUACUUAAUGAAGGUGUGAGCAAUGAAACCCUCUCUUCCUAAAUGCUGRUAGCAGUUCUUGUUUGUAGAAUAUGAGAUUUAGUCAUUUAAGUGUGUAAGCUGCCUACUUCCUCUUGCUGUGUGAGCUAUCAGGCCCUUGGCUGUCACCUGUGGUCUGCUAAAUCUGACUGUCUCAGAGAUGGGUAUGGGGGGCAUAACUAUGGGCAGGUAAUUUUCUCGAGUGRGAUAACCUUUGAAAAGAGGAAUGCCUGGCCUGUGUGUGUGUACUGUUCAUUGCCACAGUGGCUUUGCUUAAACCUUGAUUCCUGAACUGCAUUUUUGCACAGCCURAAUGAAAAACAUUUUGUUUGGGAGAGCUUCUUUGGAGGGAGAGGAGGAAAUUAGAAAAAAAAAAAAAAAACCCUAUGUCUUAGGACAUAUGUUUAUAUCUGAAGUCUGUUUUCAUUAAUUUACAUUCCUGGACUGCAAGACCUCUGUAAUACUGUUACUUUUCYCUCUCUCUCUCUGUAGCUUUAUAAAUCCUAGUUAAACGUCCUUCAGAGUUGGACACUUGAGGUUCUAAAUAUAUCUAAAAUGAUUAUAAAACUUUAAAUUUUGAAGAAUCAUUGAAGCUUAAGUUUCAACUAUUUGAAAUAAUAACAAUUAGGCAGAACUCCUCAUUUUUUCCUAUACUGCKAUCUUGCUUAUAGUUGGAAUGUAGGUGCCCUGAAGAUGCAUUUGUUAYUUACAGCCAGGCAGUAAUCAGAUAUCCCUGCUGUAAUGCCAUACCCCCUGUUUGUAGGGUUUUUAAAAAUUUUAUCUGAAGUGCAGCACUCUUACAGCCUGURCUACUAUAAUUUUGCAGUAUGGGACAGUUGUACCUUGAGUUCYAGUGAGCAAUUAUCUUUUCCUUAAUCCUUCUGCGAGGCUCUAGUGUACGGAGUCCAUGUGUUACACCUUUAAGAGGCUCACCUGUGUUAUACUUUAAGUUCCUCACACUGUAUUAAAAUAUAUAAAGAUGGAUAUUUAGCCAGUUAAAGAGGGUAGCAGGCUUUUUUAUAACUCACUUUGGGACACAUCAGGGGUUCCUUUUUCCUUGUAUGUGUUCGGUGUUGAUCGGUGUCACCAAACAUUCCUCUUACUGAUGGGCUGCUGCCAUUGGGGAGAUGGAAGUGGGCUUAGAGGAGUGUGUGUGUAAGUACUAUGACUUUCUACAUCUGUAACCAGGGAUCUAUCCYCUGUGCAUGGCAACAUGAAGUUUGUUUUCCUUGCCAGAUCAAAAACUCUUGAGAUCAUUAAGGGAAAAAUGGCAUAGUUGUUUUAUGUUUUCUGUACAGAUAUUUUAUGCCUACUGUUUCCACUGUAGAUUAAAAAUACAAAAAUUAUUUUAAAAGAGGAUUUGUACUUGACAUACUUUUUWAAGUUUGCUAUGUGCCUGUCAUGGAUCUCUUAAUGAACAAGUCUUAAGCUGUAUUGGAGUAUUGCUACAGAGCWGAGACAACAAAGUCUUUUAAAAUAGUGCCAGUGUUAUUUGCUGUAUGCUUUUCUAAAACAAAUGGAAUUUUAUGCUGUUGUUAAGGAGGAUUAUUUUUCUUUUGGUGGAAGAUAAAAGUAACAGAAUUUAAUACA